AACGAACGCUGGCGGCAUGCCUAACACAUGCAAGUCGAACGAGACCUUCGGGUCUAGUGGCGCACGGGUGCGUAACGCGUGGGAACCUGCCCUUAGGUUCGGAAUAACUCCCCGAAAGGGGUGCUAAUACCGGAUAAUGUCUUCGGACCAAAGAUUUAUCGCCUUUGGAUGGGCCCGCGUUGGAUUAGCUAGUUGGUAGGGUAAAAGCCUACCAAGGCGACGAUCCAUAGCUGGUCUGAGAGGAUGAUCAGCCACACUGGGACUGAGACACGGCCCAGACUCCUACGGGAGGCAGCAGUGGGGAAUAUUGGACAAUGGGCGAAAGCCUGAUCCAGCAAUGCCGCGUGAGUGAUGAAGGCUUUAGGUUUGUAAAGCUCUUUUACCCGGGAUGAUAAUGACAGUACCGGGAGAAUAAGCCCCGGCUAACUCCGUG
This 433-nucleotide ribosomal RNA is filed under the name uncultured bacterium. RNAcentral describes it as "partial 16S ribosomal RNA". It matches the Rfam family "Bacterial small subunit ribosomal RNA", at positions 29 to 507 of the family's 1533-position model. The record is from RNAcentral.